UAGGGAAUCUUCGGCAAUGGGGGGAACCCUGACCGAGCAACGCCGCGCGAGUGAAGAAGGUUUUCGGAUCGUAAAGCUCUGUUGUUAAGGAAGAACGAGUGUGAGAAUGGAAAGUUCAUACUGUGACGGUACUUAACCAGAAACGGACGGCUAACUACGUGCCAGCAGCCGCGGUAAUACGUAGGUCCCGAGCGUUGUCCGGAUUUAUUGGGCGUAAAGCGAGCGCAGGCGGUUAGAUAAGUCUGAAGUUAAAGGCAGUGGCUCAACCAUUGUAGGCUUUGGAAACUGUUUACCUUGAGUGCAGAAGGGGAGAGUGGAAUUCCAUGUGUAGCGGUGAAAUGCGUAGAUAUAUGGAGGAACACCAGUGGCGAAGUCGACUCUCUGGUCUGUAACUGCCGCUGAGGCUCGAAAGCGUGGGUAGCAAACAGG
This 429-nucleotide ribosomal RNA is filed under the name Bacteroidota bacterium. Its description in RNAcentral is "Bacteroidetes bacterium partial 16S ribosomal RNA". It matches the Rfam family "Bacterial small subunit ribosomal RNA", at positions 355 to 776 of the family's 1533-position model. The record is from RNAcentral. Lineage: Bacteria; Pseudomonadati; Bacteroidota.